RNAcentral lists this ribosomal RNA (253 nucleotides) under uncultured bacterium. RNAcentral's name for it is "partial 16S ribosomal RNA". It matches the Rfam family "Bacterial small subunit ribosomal RNA", at positions 524 to 776 of the family's 1533-position model. The record is from RNAcentral.
UACGGGGGGGGCAAGCGUUGUUCGGAAUUACUGGGCGUAAAGGGCUCGUAGGUGGCCAACUAAGUCAGACGUGAAAUCCCCGGGCUCAACCCGGGAACUGCGUCCGAUACUGCCAGGCUUGAAUCCGGGAGAGGGAUGUGGAAUUCCAGGUGUAGCGGUGAAAUGCGUAGAUAUCUGGAGGAACACCGGUGGCGAAGGCGGCAUCCUGGACCGGUAUUGACGCUGAUGCGCGAAAGCCAGGGGAGCAAACGGG